RNAcentral lists this long non-coding RNA (575 nucleotides) under Zonotrichia albicollis (white-throated sparrow). RNAcentral describes it as "lncRNA (ENSZALG00000013822.1)". The record is from RNAcentral. Lineage: Eukaryota; Metazoa; Chordata; Aves; Passeriformes; Passerellidae.
CACACAGCAAAGAAAAAAUAGAUUGUUCUUGCUGCCUCUGAAGCAGACUAUCAUUUAGUCUUGCCUUUGAAGAGAAAGCACAGAAAGGGUGUGCAUUCCAAGAGAAACCGUAAGCCAGGCCACAGGAGUAUGUGCUGCUCUAAUGAUAGAAGAAUUAGUCUUCAGCUAGAAGACCACAAUCUCUUCCAAGAAUGUCCCAUCAUUGCUCUGCCAUCUCAACCACCACUAUCCUUUUCACAGGCUUAUUUCUGCCAGACUGAUUGAGGCUGCAUGCACGUGGGAAGAGCUGCUGUGGCUCUACAUGGCUGUGCCGAAAGGCAUAUACAAGUUUGACAGACACAAAGAAAACUCCAUUCAGAAAGUGGCAAGAUGUUGAGACAAAGCCUUUCUCUCCCUGAGGACAAAUUAUGCCAUAUAGGGAAGCGUGAGGAUGUGAUGAAGCCUUAUGAAGAAGGAAUGGUCAAGUAUAUGUUUCCCAUUCCACAGAUACACUGCCUGCCUGCACAAAAUUUAUUUUAAAAAAAAGUAAAUCCAAACUAUAAAAGUUCUGGACAAUAAAAUGUAAUUUCUGUCCA